Molecule: ribosomal RNA, 474 nt
Filed under: uncultured bacterium
Lineage: Bacteria
Description: bacterial SSU rRNA
Rfam family: Bacterial small subunit ribosomal RNA
Source: RNAcentral
CUCUGUGACUCCUACGGGAGGCAGCAGUGGGGAAUAUUGCACAAUGGGCGCAAGCCUGAUGCAGCCAUGCCGCGUGUAUGAAGAAGGCCUUCGGGUUGUAAAGUACUUUCAGCAGUGAGGAAGGCGGAGUCGUUAAUAGCGCAUUCGUUUGACGUUAGCUGCAGAAGAAGCACCGGCUAACUCCGUGCCAGCAGCCGCGGUAAUACGGGAGGGUGCGAGCGUUAAUCGGAAUUACUGGGCGUAAAGCGCAUGCAGGUGGUUUGUUAAGUCAGAUGUGAAAGCCCCGGGGCUCAACCUCGGAAUUGCAUUUGAAACUGGCAGACUAGAGUACUGUAGAGGGGGUAGAAUUUCAGGUGUAGCGGUGAAAUGCGUAGAGAUCUGAAGGAAUACCGGUGGCGAAGGCGGCCCCCUGGACAGAUACUGACACUCAGAUGCGAAAGCGUGGGGAGCAAACAGGAUUAGAUACCCUGGUAG